RNAcentral lists this ribosomal RNA (312 nucleotides) under Lophopus crystallinus. Its description in RNAcentral is "partial 12S ribosomal RNA". The record is from RNAcentral. Lineage: Eukaryota; Metazoa; Bryozoa; Phylactolaemata; Lophopodidae.
CCUUCAACAGUAUUAGGGGAACCUGUCGUAUCAUCGAUAGUCCACGUUAGUCUUCACUUACUCUUGAACUUUACAGCUUGUAUACCUCCGUCAUAACUUACCUUUAAGAGAUUUGAAGUAAGUAAAAAGUAGAAGCAAUAUCAUUACCGUAUGACAGGUCAAGGUGCAGCUUAUGAGUAAAGUAUUAGAUGGGUUACAGUUCUCUAUGAGAUCACUAGAUCUUAUUGAUAAACAGAUAAGAGAAAUUGGACUUAAUAGUAAGAGAUCCAUAAGAAUAGAUCUCUGAAAUACUCACUAGAAGGUGUACAAAUC